This 349-nucleotide long non-coding RNA is filed under the name Capsicum annuum. RNAcentral describes it as "long non-coding RNA (CANN_LNC013414)". The record is from RNAcentral. Lineage: Eukaryota; Viridiplantae; Streptophyta; Magnoliopsida; Solanales; Solanaceae.
GGCGUAUCAGAGGCGUGUCAGAUUCUUCAGAAGAAGUAGUGUAUAUGUGUAUAUCUGGAGAAUCUGACACUGGUGCGACGUGGAAAAUGUCAACGAAGGCGUGUCAGAUUCUCUAAAAGUAGUAUAUUUCUAGAGAAUCUGACACUGGUGAGACGUGGAAAAUGUCAACGAAGGUGCGUCAGAUUCUCCAAAAGUAAUGUAUUUUUGGAGAAUCUGACACAGGUGCGGCACGGAAUUCAAAAAUAGUAUAUUUCUGGAGAAUCUGAGACGGGUGCGGCACGGAAAACGAUGAGUUGAUGCAACUUAUUUAUGACCUUCACAACAGCAGUAUUUACAACAAGCAAAGCAA